UACGUAGGGGGCAAGCGUUAUCCGGAUUUACUGGGUGUAAAGGGAGCGCAGACGGCGAUGCAAGCCAGGAGUGAAAGCCCGGGGCCCAACCCCGGGACUGCUCUUGGAACUGCGUGGCUGGAGUGCAGGAGGGGCAGGCGGAAUUCCUGGUGUAGCGGUGAAAUGCGUAGAUAUCAGGAGGAACACCGGUGGCGAAGGCGGCCUGCUGGACUGCAACUGACGUUGAGGCCCGAAAGCGUAGGGAGCAAACAGG
This 253-nucleotide ribosomal RNA is filed under the name uncultured bacterium. RNAcentral describes it as "partial 16S ribosomal RNA". It matches the Rfam family "Bacterial small subunit ribosomal RNA", at positions 524 to 776 of the family's 1533-position model. The record is from RNAcentral.